RNAcentral lists this ribosomal RNA (534 nucleotides) under Meyerozyma caribbica. Its description in RNAcentral is "eukaryotic LSU rRNA". It matches the Rfam family "Eukaryotic large subunit ribosomal RNA", at positions 103 to 653 of the family's 3401-position model. Lineage: Eukaryota; Fungi; Ascomycota; Pichiomycetes; Serinales; Debaryomycetaceae. The record is from RNAcentral.
AAAAGCUCAAAUUUGAAAUCUGGCACCUUCGGUGUCCGAGUUGUAAUUUGAAGAUUGUAACCUUGGGGUUGGCUCUUGUCUAUGUUUCUUGGAACAGGACGUCACAGAGGGUGAGAAUCCCGUGCGAUGAGAUGCCCAAUCCUAUGUAAGGUGCUUUCGAAGAGUCGAGUUGUUUGGGAAUGCAGCUCUAAGUGGGUGGUAAAUUCCAUCUAAAGCUAAAUAUUGGCGAGAGACCGAUAGCGAACAAGUACAGUGAUGGAAAGAUGAAAAGAACUUUGAAAAGAGAGUGAAAAAGUACGUGAAAUUGUUGAAAGGGAAGGGUUUGAGAUCAGACUCGAUAUUUUGUGAGCCUUGCCUUCGUGGCGGGGUGACCCGCAGCUUAUCGGGCCAGCAUCGGUUUGGGCGGUAGGAUAAUGGCGUAGGAAUGUGACUUUGCUUCGGUGAAGUGUUAUAGCCUGCGUUGAUGCUGCCUGCCUAGACCGAGGACUGCGAUUUUAUCAAGGAUGCUGGCAUAAUGAUCCCAAACCGCCCUUG